CUACGGGCCGCAGCAGUGAGGAAUAUUGCACAAUGGGGGGAACCCUGAUGCAGCAACGCCGCGUGGAGGAUGACGCAUUUCGGUGUGUAAACUCCUUUUAUAUGUCAAGAAAAUGACGGUAGCAUAUGAAUAAGCACCGGCUAACUCCGUGCCAGCAGCCGCGGUAAUACGGAGGGUGCAAGCGUUACUCGGAAUCACUGGGCGUAAAGGACGCGUAGGCGGGUUGGAAAGUCAGGUGUGAAAUCCUACAGCUUAAACUGUAGAACUGCACUUGAAACUUCUAAUCUAGAGUAUGGGAGGGGGGGAUGGAAUUAGGGGUGUAGGGGUAAAAUCCGUAGAUAUCACUAGGAAUACCUAAAGCGAAGGCGAUCUCCUGGAACAUUACUGACGCUAAGGCGUGAAAGCGUGGGGAGCAAACAGGAUUAGAUACCCCUGUAGUC
RNAcentral lists this ribosomal RNA (440 nucleotides) under uncultured bacterium. RNAcentral describes it as "partial 16S ribosomal RNA". It matches the Rfam family "Bacterial small subunit ribosomal RNA", at positions 339 to 795 of the family's 1533-position model. The record is from RNAcentral.